Molecule: long non-coding RNA, 1228 nt
Organism: Dreissena polymorpha
Lineage: Eukaryota; Metazoa; Mollusca; Bivalvia; Myida; Dreissenidae
Exons: 2
Source: RefSeq, a predicted model, not a curated record
UACAUCGUUUAUCUUGUUUUACACCAACCUGUAAAUUGUUCAUACUGAAGGAGAUAUAGCGAGAAUGAUACUAGUAAUACAUGAUUUAUUGCACCAUAUAAUUACUCGAUUCGCUUCACAACAUUAUGGGUGUUUGCUGAUUUAUCUUAAAUGUUUGAUUCAAAAUGGACACCAGUGAUUUGAUGUGGAUACUCUGGGUUGUGUUAGAGAUAGGACUUCUCAUAUUGUUAUGGCUCUUUGUGAAAUGGUGCGCAGCUUGUAGAAGAACCACAACAAUGAUUAUGCCGUCAAAUCCUUCCCUGGAGCGAAUCCCAAUCGCCUACAAGCUGAAAUAUGACUUCUAGAAUAAACACCUAGGUAACCGAUGCAUAACAAGAGACCAUGAAGAGCACCAAUGCACUUAAAACAUGAAGGAAAUGGUCGCUGAUAUAUUAGAUCUUUAAAUAACAAACAAUAUCCAAUCAACACAUAUGAUCAAUUUAUCAACAAGCAAAUAUUUUGAAAAACGAAUGGGCGCGCCGAUAUAGUGAAAUCUGUGCCACAAUGAUUACGGUGUUGGUUCAAACAACAUCCCCACAAAUGUCAAACAUGUACAUGUAUAUCCAUGCAAGUCCAUAUACGUGUACAUGGUUUAAAAUGUAAACAUAUUUAUGUUGAUUAGUUGAAAGUCACCCAUUUAACCAUUUUUAGGAGGUAAACUCACCUUUCAUAAUGUGUAAAAAUGAUUUUGUUACCAUUUAGACAAAUUGGAAGAGAGCAUGUUUAUAUUCUUGUACGGGCAAUUAAACUCACUUUUUGAAAUUGUGCAAGCUAUGUUUCGAUUUAAAGAUGAAUAUGUCCUCUUCCGAAAAUUGCAAUUUAAAAAAAUCAUCAUUUAACUUUAAAGGAAAUGCAUCUCGCCUGAAAGCAGACACACACAGAAAAAAGGGAUUCGGUAGUGGAAUUUCGAAAAAAGGACCACACUUAACUAAUCCUAACAGUUCAUCUUUCAACGUGGUCUCGUGCGAAAUGUAUCAACAUUUUGUACGCACAUGGGAUAUAAACACUAAAGGCACAUCUGCUAUUGCUGAAUUGUUUUUAUUAUCAGAAAAUUGAAGGAUUUCUAUAACAAUGGGUACAAUAUUCGAAUCAAACACUGAGGGAUCGACCAUUAAGCAUAACAAUUCUUCCGAGUGUUUUAUGUCAGUAUUGUUUAAUCGUUCAUAAACAAAACCAUUUAUGUCUCAUA